CAAAAAUUGCGUUCUCUCUCUCUCUCUUUAUGUAAUUCUCUCCUUCUGUUUGCUGCAAAGUCUUCUUUCAUAACCAAUAAAAAAAAAAUUCCGUUCUUCUUUCUCCUAUACCAAAUUAAUCCUCCAUCUUGUCUCCGUUUGUGCUGAGCCAUCAUUAACCAUGAUGUAUAUUCAACGGAUAUUAAAGAGGCAGCAUGACUUGAGACAGUGAGGGAAUUGCAGAUGAGCAUUGGAACUAUUAGUAAGUCGCCUCACAUCACAAAGCCAACGGAGCCAAAGGGAACUAUUUCCAGGAAUCAAACGUAUUCCACUGGAGUCGGAGUUGUGUGAAUUAGAAUCAGAGUUGUCAAAAGAGAUGAACAUACCUAUCUUUUGCUAUCAGAUACAUUGAAUUUUCUCUUCUUUUUUUUAAUAAUUCAUCUUGCUGGCAAAA
Solanum stenotomum is the source of this 433-nucleotide long non-coding RNA. RefSeq lists it as uncharacterized. The record is from RefSeq and is a predicted model, not a curated record. NCBI's taxonomy places the organism in Eukaryota, Viridiplantae, Streptophyta, Magnoliopsida, Solanales, Solanaceae. The transcript is spliced from 2 exons.